GACGAACGCUGGCGGCGCGCUUAACACAUGCAAGUCGAACGGAAAGGCCUGCUUUCCCUUGUGGAUUGCGGGUACUCGAGUGGCGAACGGGUGAGUAACACGUGAGUGAUCUGCCCCCAACUUGGGUAUAAGCCUGGGAAACUGGGUCUAAUUCCCGAUAGGACUGCAGGGUGGUGCCUGUGGUGGAAAACGAUUUUCUAGUGGUUGGGGAUGAGCUCUCGGCCUAUCAGCUUGUUGGUGGGGUAAUGGCCUACCAAGGCGGCGACGGGUAGCCGGCCUGGGAGGGUGGACGGCCACAUUGGGACUGGGAUACGGCCCCGACGCCUACGGGAGGCCGCAGUGGGGAGUAUUACGCAAUGGGCGGAAGCCUGAUGCAGCGACGCCGCGUGGGGGAUGACGGCCUUCGGGCUGUAAACUCCUUUCGACCGAGAGGAAGCCACCUGGUUGGAAGGGUGGUGACGGUAGUGGUAGAAGAAGCACCGGCUAACUACGUG
This 494-nucleotide ribosomal RNA is filed under the name uncultured bacterium. RNAcentral describes it as "partial 16S ribosomal RNA". It matches the Rfam family "Bacterial small subunit ribosomal RNA", at positions 28 to 507 of the family's 1533-position model. The record is from RNAcentral.